UAUCAUUGCAUUUGUUAAGGAUUUCAUUUGCAAGGUAAAAGGUUGAGUUCUCCUCUUCAAGAAGAACAAUAUAUUUUAUUAAAAAAAAGUAUGUUUCACAAAAUGAAAUCAUUUGAGAAAUACUUUAUGCCUGUCAAAAAAGUGAGGCACAAUUCCUUCUGGUCUGGAGUCAGUAAUCGUUGCAUAAUCAUUUCAUAUUCAUCAGCACCUCAUGUGCAGGAGUUAAUCACAGAACAUCUCUUUGCUAUGUGGAGAAGCUUUGCAACCCAACAGUGUUUUUUCAUUUCUCUGCACUUAUUCAUACAGUUUUGUUUUUGUUUGUUUUCUGAUAUCUUCCUCUCAUGCAUGCUAGUCACACAAGAGACUGUCUAAAAAGAGUCAAAGCUGGUAUAACACAACCACAAGCUGUAAGAUGUCAGCUGUAAACACUCUUCAGAUGUCCAUUCCAGUAGGGCGU
Molecule: long non-coding RNA, 457 nt
Organism: Sinocyclocheilus rhinocerous
Lineage: Eukaryota; Metazoa; Chordata; Actinopteri; Cypriniformes; Cyprinidae
Exons: 3
Source: RefSeq, a predicted model, not a curated record